AGCAGCCGCGGUAAUUCCAGCUCCAAUAGCGUAUAUUAAAGUUGUUGCAGUUAAAAAGCUCGUAGUUGAAUUUCGGGGUCAAUACGUCGGUCGUGCCUUCGGUACGUACUGGUGUUAUUGAUCUCUCCCUUCUGAUGAAUCAUGAUGUCAUUAAUUUGGUGUCGUGGGGAGUCAGGACUGUUACUUUGAAAAAAUUAGAGUGUUUAAAGCAAGCUAACGCUUGAAUACAUUAGCAUGGAAUAAUGAAAUAGGACGUUCGAUCUUAUUUUGUUGGUUUCUAGGAUUGACGUAAUGAUUAAUAGGGAUAGUUGGGGGCAUUAGUAUUCAAUUGUCAGAGGUGAAAUUCUUGGAUUUAUUGAAGACUAACUACUGCGAAAGCAUUUGCCAAGGAUGUUUU
RNAcentral lists this ribosomal RNA (397 nucleotides) under uncultured Glomeromycotina. RNAcentral describes it as "SSU rRNA". It matches the Rfam family "Eukaryotic small subunit ribosomal RNA", at positions 569 to 970 of the family's 1831-position model. The record is from RNAcentral. Lineage: Eukaryota; Fungi; Glomeromycota.